RNAcentral lists this ribosomal RNA (131 nucleotides) under Scleroderma michiganense. RNAcentral describes it as "partial 28S ribosomal RNA". It matches the Rfam family "Eukaryotic large subunit ribosomal RNA", at positions 1 to 129 of the family's 3401-position model. Lineage: Eukaryota; Fungi; Basidiomycota; Agaricomycetes; Boletales; Sclerodermataceae. The record is from RNAcentral.
UUUGACCUCAAAUCAGGUAGGACUACCCGCUGAACUUAAGCAUAUCAAUAAGCGGAGGAAAAGAAACUAACGAGGAUUCCCCUAGUAACUGCGAGUGAAGCGGGAAGAGCUCAAAUUUCGAAUUCUGGCGG